UCAAACAACUGAAAGCGUCAAGGGAGAGCAGGAAGAGCACAUACAGUUUUGGUAGAACCGUGUGUGCUUUCAAAAUGCUUCUCCUUCCUCAUUAUGCACACAGCCUUCCUGCCUGUCGGGGGACAUGUGGUGAAGCUCGGUGACCACAGAGACUGAGCGGCCGCUGCCUUUCAUUCUAGACUGAGUGGAAUGCAUGCUUCCCAGCCCGGGUUUCUGCCUGGCUCUGUCUGACAGCACACAGUGGGGACGAACACGACCGCUUUGCUUUGACGUCAUCUGCUUUAAGCCAGAGACCUGUCAUAACCAAACACCUACCCUGACGACACAGAAACCUGGGUGUCUGAAAGAGGACUCACUCCAGGGCUGCUGUCUCCCAGGUGGGAGGAGUCACUGCACCAACUUCCUCCUCUGGCUCACAAGUCUUUUGAAUUUCAAGUCUGGUCCCCAAAGGAAAGGCUAGCGGCACAGGACCCCACAGAGGAUGUCUGACUCCUGGAGGGAGAGCCAACACAGCCGGAGCCUGUCCACGCCAGCACUGCUCCGAGAUCUGUCGCUGCUUCUAAAGAAUGUGGAAUUACUUGAUGAAACCACUUCCCUCAUUUCGUAAGCACUAACAAAGAUGGGUAUCAAUCAUCAGGACCAAAAACCAGACCAAAGACAGCAACCAAUGCAACUGUUUGCUGAGACAAGGAGGGUCUGAUAAAAACGGCUGGCUUAUCCCACCUCUCACAGAUUCCUACCUCUAGUGAGUCUACUGCCUGCCUUCUUUACAUCGGACACUUCCUUGGGAGGAUCUGUACUCAUUUAAACUUGACAAACCAGAGAAGAGGUAGUCUUAUGUCACUCUGCAAAACAAUGCAUCAGAGGCAUCACCAGGCAACUAGAUUUUAAAGUAAUUGUAUAUUUAUAUGUGUAUCUGCUUACAACUAAAGCAUUUAAUACUCUCAGGGAAAAAAAAUGUUCCUUUGGCUAAACAGCUUGGAAGUGCAUUCAAUUUGGACACGGCGCUAUCUGAUCUGUUAGAUACCCUGUGAUCAGGCCACUUAAAUGUGUGAGUGCACAAUACGUACACGCACAGCCCAGACCAGCAUUUCUCAAACUACUCUUCAUAGGUGGGGCUGGCCUGUGAGCUGGUACCCAUUCAGAUGACGUAAGCAAGGCACUGUAUUAUUUAGGGAGGAUUAUAGCAAAUUACAAAGUGCUGUCGGGUCUGCAAACCUACCCUACAGCGCAAGCUUUUACAGGCUUUUUCUUUCGGUUUCCUUUUACUUCACUUUUCACAUAACUGUUUUUAUGCUUUACUGAAAUUCACAAACGACUGGGUGGGGGGUAGGGCUAUCAAGACAGCCCAUCAGCACAGAAGUCUGAGAAACACUAAAAUACAGCCAAGACCAAACCAGAAACUCACUGUCAUUCAGCAUCCUCACUCAUCUUCUCUGGUGACAGCAUGGAGACGUCCCAUCGUCAGGCUUGUGGCCAGGGUACAAUGGUACUGCCUAUAGUUUUUGCUCCUUCCCUUCCUCCCUCCUCUAUCUUCCUCUCUGUAUUUUUUAGAUGUGAUCUCUGCCAAGCAAACUGAUUGAAACUUUUAGACUUAAGCAAUCUGCAUCUUAGUCUCCUGUCUCUCGGGUACAGAUACACGGAACACAGUACUUUUUCAACAACACACUUCUUCUGUGAGGUCCAGGCCAGCCAGCCAGGGCUCCUCAGUGAGACCCAGGUUUUCUGCUUGUUCAUCUGUCUGUUUUGAGUGUAUGCACGUGUGUACAUCUGUGGGGGCCGGGGAUGGUUGCUGGAGUCAGUUCUACGCUUCUACCAUGGCUCACUCAGCGAUUAAGGCUCUCAGCACAUACUCAAUGAGCCAUCUUGCUGGCCUACUAAUUCAUUUCUUUAGAAAUAAUUGCCACUUCUACAGAAGUCACACCUACAGGCUAAGAGAUGACUCACUCAGGGUUAAGAGCAGUUGUUACUGUUGAGACCCAGGACUCAGUUCCUAGCACUUCCAUGGUGACACACAGCCAUCUCUAGCUAGUUCCAGGGGGCCUGGUGCCUACCUCUGACCUCAUGUCCUCUUUUGACCUCCAAGGACACCACUAGGCACACAAAUUGUGCAGAUAUACACAUACAGGCAAGACACUCACAUAUAAAAAAUAAGAUAAAUCUAAAACAAACAAAAGAAACCCACACCCAGGCGUGUGAUGCUGCAGGCAUUUAGCAGAAUUCCCACAGCUGAACAGCAUCUGUGGAGUUUUCCAGUGUGAGAAGCAGCUAACUUCCAAUUAGAGUGAGCAUCUGGCUAGAGCUGCAUGCUAACCCUGGUGUUUAGGAAGGCCUGUAGAGGUAUCUGUUCUGCUGCCUUCAACAGGAGGGUGAAGGGCCCCUCUAAUUCUGUGACCAGGACCAGGUAGACAAGUUGAAUCUUGGGUGUUCUUCACAUAUGUCAAUAAGGACCUCUGGUGGACUAUGUCUCAAACAGGCUUGUUUCCAUGUUUCUGUUUUGUAUUGGAAUCAAAUAAAAAUGGCUCCCCACA
This is a long non-coding RNA of Myodes glareolus (Bank vole), 2531 nucleotides long. RefSeq lists it as uncharacterized. The record is from RefSeq and is a predicted model, not a curated record. Lineage: Eukaryota; Metazoa; Chordata; Mammalia; Rodentia; Cricetidae.